AAUCGUGGUGAAGGAACUCGGCAAAAUACCCCCGUAACUUCGGGAUAAGGGGGACCUGCGACGUGUUAGAACUUGCUUCGAGAGCGUCAAGGGUCGCAGAGACCAGGCCCAAGCGACUGUUUACUAAAAACACAGGUCCGUGCCAACUCGUAAGAGGACGUAUACGGACUGACUCCUGCCCGGUGCUGGAAGGUUAAGGGGAACUGUCAGCCACCUUGUGUGGUGAAGCGGUGAACUUAAGCCCCAGUAAACGGCGGUGGUAACUAUAACCAUCCUAAGGUAGCGAAAUUCCUUGUCGGGUAAGUUCCGACCUGCACGAAUGGAGUAACGAUUUGGGCGCUGUCUCCACCACGAACCCGGUGAAAUUGCAUUACGAGUAAAGAUGCUCGUUACGCGCAGCAGGACGGAAAGACCCCGGGACCUUUACUAUAGUUUGGUAUUGGUGAUCGGUGUGACUUGUGUAGGAUAGGUGGGAGACUGUGAAGCCGGGACGCUAGUUUCGGUGGAGUCGCCGUUGAAAUACCACUCUGGUCACUCUGGUUAUCUAACCUAGGACCGUUAUCCGGUUCAGGGACAGUGCCUGAUGGGUAGUUUGACUGGGGCGGUCGCCUCCUAAAAGGUAACGGAGGCGCCCAAAGGUUCCCUCAGCCUGGUUGGCAAUCAGGUGUUGAGUGUAAGUGCACAAGGGAGCUUGACUGUGAGACUGACGGGUCGAGCAGGUACGAAAGUAGGAACUAGUGAUCCGGCGAUCCCGUGUGGGUGGGUCGUCGCUCAACGGAUAAAAGGUACCCCGGGGAUAACAGGCUGAUCCUGCCCAAGAGUCCAUAUCGACGGCAUGGUUUGGCACCUCGAUGUCGGCUCGUCGCAUCCUGGGGCUGGAGUCGGUCCCAAGGGUUGGGCUGUUCGCCCAUUAAAGCGGCACGCGAGCUGGGUUUAGAACGUCGUGAGACAGUUCGGUCCCUAUCCGCUGCGCGCGUAGGAGUCUUGAGAAGGGCUGUCUCUAGUACGAGAGGACCGGGACGGACUAACCUCUGGUGUGCCAGUUGUUCCACCAGGAGCACUGCUGGUUAGCUACGUUGGGAAGUGAUAACCGCUGAAAGCAUCUAAGCGGGAAGCACGCUUCAAGAUGAG
Molecule: ribosomal RNA, 1131 nt
Filed under: human metagenome
Description: bacterial LSU rRNA
Rfam family: Bacterial large subunit ribosomal RNA
Source: RNAcentral